Non-coding RNA from Camelina sativa (false flax), 1410 nucleotides. The record is from RefSeq and is a predicted model, not a curated record. Lineage: Eukaryota; Viridiplantae; Streptophyta; Magnoliopsida; Brassicales; Brassicaceae.
UCCUCCUUCGAUAAUAGCAUUGAACACCGCCGGUGAGAAACAGCGAUUCCAAUUGUAUUAGCUAGGUUUGGCCAGUGACGUAGUGUUUUAAGGGGUUUGAAACUUAGUAGUAGUUUCAAUACUAGAGCAGAGAGCUUCUCAAGUAAAUGUUUCUUUCUGGGUCUAUUGACCACUCAUCAUCAGGCAUGCCCUUAUGCAACAAUCAUCCAUUGGAGAAAGAAGGAGAACAGUAAGACAAAGCAUCCUCAACUUCUCUAUGAAGCCAAGCUAUACAGAGUUCUUGAAGGAGGGAAGUAUGCUUCUGAGUCCUAUAUUUUCUUAUUCUGCAGUUGUUGGAGGGAUUGAUUAUUCAGUACAAUGCUAAUUUUGUGUUACCUGUUGGCUGUGGUCUGCAGUUGGAGUUCCUAAGAUGGUUUGGAGUGUAUGGAACAGAAAAUGCAUUAGUGAUGGAUUUGUUAGGGCCAAGUCUCGAAGAUCUAUUCGUGUAAUUGUGGGAGGAAGUUCUCACCAAAGAGGGUUUUGAUGUUGGCUGAUGAGAUGGUCUGGCAUGAGUUUUUAACUGGGGGCAUUAAUUGUGUCAUACUAGUACUAGCUAUCAGUUCUCUUGACUACUAAUACAUUGAUCAUCUGAUGGGCUUCUAGCUGACAAGAGUAUAUAGAAUAUGUACAUUCCAAAGGAUAUUUACAUAGAGAUGUAUUGUAGUUUUCCUUUCUUCUGAUCUGAUGAGCAAAAAGAUUACGUGCCUUUUGGGCACUUUUACUGAGAUUCUGCAGUGGGGAAGCUCUUCUAGACGAGGUUGAUGAUCGAAAUGGAGCUUUUUCAUGGAAAGCUUACUGUUUCACACAUAUGGCAUGAAGAUUAUGUUAACUAAUUUCUUUCAAGAUUCUCCCAAAAUGACUGACUUCAAACCUUUGUAUAAAAUCUUGCAACGGGACCUGUAGUUUGGUUUUCUUGUGAUUCAUUCUCAUCAGUUUUGUUUUAACUUACUCUGUUCAUAUUCCUGUGUAGUUUCCUGAGCAGCUGAAGGGGCAUAAACUGGAUUUGUUGCUUGAUCAACAUUAUUUGUAGAAACAUAAAGAGCCAACCAAGCUUGAGCAGAGAUGUCUUCAAAGGCUUGAGUCAAGAUUAGCUUGCUUGCAACAGGACAGGGUCAGCAUCAAGCAAUGCGCUCGACCAUACGGUUUAAUUGGUGGACUUCACCAUCGUUUAGGUCGCAGCUAGCGAGAAGGGAUGAUGGUUUCUUAUGUUGUUAUGCUCGGAGAAGCAUUGUACUCUCCUUUUUUUUUUUUUCUCCUGAUUUUUCUUUUACUCGAUUUUGUGGAAUGAAAAAAAAAAAAUUCUGUACCAAAACCAGAAUCAAAUAUUGGAAUGUACACACCUCGAAAUUAACGAUUGUGGAUUUGAUUUUU